This 490-nucleotide ribosomal RNA is filed under the name uncultured bacterium. Its description in RNAcentral is "bacterial SSU rRNA". It matches the Rfam family "Bacterial small subunit ribosomal RNA", at positions 28 to 516 of the family's 1533-position model. The record is from RNAcentral.
GAUGAACGCUGGCGGCGUGCUUAACACAUGCAAGUCGAACGAAGCACUUUAUUACGAUUUCUUCGGAAUGACGAUUUAGUGACUGAGUGGCGGACGGGUGAGUAACGCGUGGGUAACCUGCCUUAUACAGGGGGAUAACAGUUAGAAAUGACUGCUAAUACCGCAUAAGCGCACGGUAUCGCAUGAUACAGUGUGAAAAACUCCGGUGGUAUAAGAUGGACCCGCGUCUGAUUAGCUAGUUGGUGAGGUAACGGCCCACCAAGGCGACGAUCAGUAGCCGGCCUGAGAGGGUGAACGGCCACAUUGGGACUGAGACACGGCCCAAAACUCCUACGGGAGGCAGCAGUGGGGAAUAUUGCACAAUGGGGGAAACCCUGAUGCAGCGACGCCGCGUGAGUGAUGGAGUAUUUCGGUAUGUAAAACUCUAUCAGCAGGGAAGAUAAUGACGGUACCUGACUAAGAAGCACCGGCUAAAUACGUGCCAGCAGCC